CGGGUCUCUUGUUUUCUCGCUUCCAUGUACAGUUGUAAACCACUGUCUUUUUAGCUUCUCUCUCCUCUUCACUCUUACCCGGUUACCCACUUACCCCUGCUCAUUUCCCUUCUCCCUUUCCCUCUCUUCCUUCAAACCCUAUUCAUUCAAGCCAAAUAAUAAAGAUUCAAAUCGAGAAGCCAUAAACAAAGAAAAGGAAAGGGGGAUGGCGAAACAAAAUUACCAAAAUUAAGCUCUUUGAUUUCACAAAAGCUUGAUCGAUCUGAUUUAUUUACCCGGACGUGACAAGUUGAAGCAAUCUUCUACAAUUUUAGAGGUCUAUAUCUUAUGGGUUUUUCCAAAAAUCUCGAAAAUGGUGGGGUUUUUUUUUGGCAGGUGUGGGAUUUAAUGUUGUAGUAAAAGAGAUUUAUUUAUAUGCUGAAUAAUUCAAAAUAUGUAAUUAAAUAGCAUUUUUUGUUGUUUUUUUUUCAUUUUAGUCAGAUUUAAGUUUUAGUGCGUAUGAAUUAUGUACCUAUUAUAGUAUCCAAGUAUUUACACAUGCAUAAACUUUAUCAAUUGACAACUAAAUGAAUAAAUUGGCUUUUUCGGAUU
Long non-coding RNA from Chenopodium quinoa (quinoa), 591 nucleotides. RefSeq lists it as uncharacterized. NCBI's taxonomy places the organism in Eukaryota, Viridiplantae, Streptophyta, Magnoliopsida, Caryophyllales, Amaranthaceae. The record is from RefSeq and is a predicted model, not a curated record. The transcript is spliced from 2 exons.